This 916-nucleotide small RNA is filed under the name Rattus norvegicus (Norway rat). Its description in RNAcentral is "uncharacterized LOC103691830". Lineage: Eukaryota; Metazoa; Chordata; Mammalia; Rodentia; Muridae. The record is from RNAcentral.
CUGUGCGCCCCUCCCACAAAGAAGGCCACACCCCCUUCCGGUGGCUGUGGUGCGGGGAGGUGAGGAGGCGAGUCGGGGCGGGGCUCGGCCUAACGAGCAAGGAGCUGAACCGCCCCUUGGUGGUUGCCUCAGGAAAGAGCCAGAUUUGUUUGUUUGUUUGCUUAUAGCCUUUCCUUCUCUCAACUCCUCUCUCGUCCAGAAAUAGAGGUAAAGUUCCAAGGCCAAGUCUCAUAAAACGCCCCCGCGUGCAAACAAGUGACUGGGCUGCUGAGACAUACUCAGUGUGGGAUGACUACAGGAUUGGGCGAGGAUGAAAGAGACAUGAGAUUGUACUGUCUACUUAUAAAAGCUUCCCCUAGUGUGGCUGGCACGUUUGAGAAACGUGCACGCCCUGGUUAUAUGAGGUAUGAAAAUGCAGUGAGAAAAGAUGGAUAUAUCACAUUGAAGAUGCAGACAAAAAGGGAAGUGGAGAAAGAAAGUGACCCAGAAAUGUAGAGAAAGCUGACUGCUUGGAUUUGAAAGUUAGAAGAUGGAUGGAUCAAGAAGCAGCUGCCUGUGGGAGAUGAGACAGAUGAAAAGGAAGUGCCUAGAGAACCAUUGGUGGGGUUGGCCAAGUGCUGAGAGGACACUGCCUCUAAUCGUUUGAUUCAGCGUCCUGUUGGAGUCUGACCCAUCCAUCUGCUGUCUCCAGAUGUCUUCCAUUCUACCACAUGCAUGUGCUGUGGCUGGUUCUCUGUCCUUGCUCUUUAAUUCACUCCUGGUCUGUCUACUACCUGCAUGAAUCAGCUGAUCCAGAAUUUCUUCACUCUGUGGCUCCCCCAGUCACGAUCACAUCCUGUUUACAGUUCCUUGAUAUACGACAACUCUGAUGUGCACACUAUUCAUACUAGCCACAUCGUGACAUGAGAGACUAUGG